GCAUGAAAACAGCCGAAUCUCCAAAAGGAGUACGGGGGACUAUUUUUUAGGGGUGAAUCUCAGAUUUUGAGUAGGGUGACCUCAACCCAAACCCGUCAACUAACCUCGGAGGCACAAGGAGGUAAUAU
This 128-nucleotide small RNA is filed under the name Clostridium homopropionicum. RNAcentral describes it as "c-di-AMP sequence". It matches the Rfam family "c-di-AMP riboswitch aptamer (ydaO/yuaA leader)". Rfam says of the family: This family represents a conserved RNA structure found upstream of the ydaO and yuaA genes in Bacillus subtilis and related genes in other bacteria. The ydaO/yuaA element is thought to act as a genetic "off" switch for the ydaO and yuaA genes in its native state. RNAcentral also lists the same sequence under 1 other name. Lineage: Bacteria; Bacillati; Bacillota; Clostridia; Eubacteriales; Clostridiaceae. The record is from RNAcentral.